This 364-nucleotide ribosomal RNA is filed under the name Grandidierina lineata. Its description in RNAcentral is "partial 12S ribosomal RNA". It matches the Rfam family "Bacterial small subunit ribosomal RNA", at positions 859 to 1392 of the family's 1533-position model. The record is from RNAcentral. Lineage: Eukaryota; Metazoa; Chordata; Lepidosauria; Squamata; Scincidae.
ACAAUACCGUCCGCCAGAGAACUACAAGCAAAAAACUAGAAACUCCAAGGACUUGGCGGUGCUUCACAUCAACCUAGAGGAGCCUGUCCUAUAAUCGAUACCCCACGCUAAACCUCACCAUCUUUUGCCCUUCAGCCUAUAUACCGCCGUCGUCAGCCUACCUUAUGAAAGAAAAACAGUAGGCAAAACAGUCAAUAACUAACACGUCAGGUCAAGGUGUAGCAUAUAAGAUGGAAGAGAUGGGCUACAUUUUCUACCACAGAACAUACGAAUGACACAAUGAAACACGUACCUAAAGGUGGAUUUAGCAGUAAGAUAAAAAAGCAACACUAUCUUAAACACGCUCUGAAGCGCGCACACACCG